CCGCGUUUACGCGCUGUGUAUUCACGUCUCGAGAUCGCGUGUCUCUCCGUAUGAUAUAGAAAUCCUCUAACGUGCUACCAAGCGGAUGUGUGUGAUGCUUUCCUGGGACGCCCAGCAUUUUGCCUGCUUGGAAAAAAAAAAAAAAUGAAACAGAAGUAGUUUUUAACCAGCUUCGCCAGUGUGUUAGCAGCGGUGUUUUUACCCCCCACGCCGGGACCGGCGCGGCUCUGCCCCCUUCGAGACGCCCAGCGCCGGCGUCAGCGGGGCGGGGGGUGAUUUUAUGCAGCUAUCGCUCGGGGCACGUGGGGACAGCCCUCGUUCAGGCUCCGGUUGAGCAAAUCCUUUUGAGUCCAGCUCUCUCCGGGGGCGAAAGGGAAACGCUGGGAGCUAAGGAAAGCUUUUAAUCGAACACUUGUAGAGGUUUGCACUCCUUUAUUUUUUUUUUCCCCCCCACCUUUGGUCUGGCAGCGCUGACGAGUGCCAGAGCUGGUUGCUGUGCGGUCUGCUUGUAACCUCAACCCCAAACGUUGCCACAGGAUGUUACGUGAAUGUGUUUAAAAUGGAGAAGGGAAGGUCAAAUCAGGAAUAUUGAUAUGAAGGGAAGGUCAAAUCUCUAUAUAUUCGUACAUAGAGGGAGGAAGGCAGACGGGCUGAGCUACUUGACUUGCCCAUCAGUCCGUCUCCUUCCUCCGGUAAGAAGUGCUGCUUUGUGGACGUAGGAUGGCUUUUGUCGUGCUUAGCCGCACCAUUAAGAUGCAUUUUCUCGGUGGUGGUGGUGGUGGGCCAGUGCGUCCUCCAGCCGUGCCGGCAGCAGGUUGGGGGGAGCAGCGUUUCCCCACAGCGCCAGCCGCUAGGCAGGAGGGAGCGACCUCUCCUUCCGGGCAGGAGGAACCUGCCUCUGCCCUUUUGGAGUCCAAGGCCGUGUACAGACUGACACAUCUUCAGUCUCUCAAGACCUUUGAGGAGCCUCAGAGCACCUGAGGGCUGGAAGCAGCUCACAGCUUCCAAACCUAGAGGUGAUUUGAUGCUUCUGUGCUGCACUCCCACGCGAUCGAGACGUGCUCAGGCUAUUCAACAGAGACGAGGGCAUGAAAAGAUCCAGUGGGUGGGAGAUGAGCGCCAAAAGCCACCCGUCCCCGUGCAACGGGUGGUGAGGUACCAGCCGACCGAAUAAACCGGGCUGGGGGAGCCUCGGUGCCUCACCUCGCCACCCUUCCAGCUCUCCAGCGGACAGAGAGGAGCGGUCUGCUUCCUCCGGCAGGAGAGCAGUCGCUGAGGCAAAAGAGGCGAUUCCUGGUUAUAAGGUAGAGUGAGAAAGAGUCAUUUCCCAGCGUGACGGGGAUUUUGCAAGGGUAAAGGAAGGAGCCCGGAGCCUCGCCGGCCUCAAACGCAGAAAUUGCAUCUUAAUGGAGACGCUGGCUCCAGGUGGGGCAGGUGGAGUUAAAUAAAGCCAAAGACUGUCCGGCUGCUAGCAGAAAUGAGUGAUUGUAGUUUCAUCUGAUGUUCUGUAAUUGUGUUUACAAUAUUUAUUUUUAGUGAAUGACUGCAAUUAUAUAUAUAUAGGCUUCCUUAUUUUUGUAUUUUACACACUAUUUUCCUCAGUGUGGUAUUGUAUUUCUCAGCUCCCCUUUGCCACAAUUGCUGCUCCUAGUCAGUGAAAUAAAAGAACAAAAAACAUGUUCUCU
Long non-coding RNA from Rhea pennata, 1685 nucleotides. RefSeq lists it as uncharacterized. The transcript has 2 exons. NCBI's taxonomy places the organism in Eukaryota, Metazoa, Chordata, Aves, Rheiformes, Rheidae. The record is from RefSeq and is a predicted model, not a curated record.